UACGUAGGGUGCGAGCGUUAAUCGGAAUUACUGGGCGUAAAGCGUGCGCAGGCGGUUCGUUAAGUCAGCUGUGAAAGCCCCGGGCUCAACCUGGGAAUUGCGGUUGAAACUGGCGAACUAGAAUCUGGCAGAGGGGGGUGGAAUUCCACGUGUAGCAGUGAAAUGCGUAGAGAUGUGGAGGAACACCGAUGGCGAAGGCAGCCCCCUGGGCUGAGAUUGACGCUCAGGCACGAAAGCGUGGGGAGCAAACAGGG
RNAcentral lists this ribosomal RNA (254 nucleotides) under uncultured bacterium. RNAcentral's name for it is "partial 16S ribosomal RNA". It matches the Rfam family "Bacterial small subunit ribosomal RNA", at positions 524 to 777 of the family's 1533-position model. The record is from RNAcentral.